AAACAUGAACUAGGGACUAUAUGGUUAUUUGCUGCUCACUUUAUGUUUACAUCUCCCACAUUCAUACCAGUAUACAUCAGGUUUGCUUAACCAUUGAUUUCUUUUUUUUUUUUUUUACCAAAUUUUUAUGUUCACAAUGUAGACUUUCUGGAAAGUCACAUGCACCAUGCAGGGCAACAUGGGGAGGCACUAUGGUCAGUUAGGAUGAAUAAGGAUUGUGAGAGGAAACGGUAGACAAGAGCAUGUAUUUUGUUUUUGCAAGGAGGACUAGGGCAAGUAGGAUGAGCAUGUUUAGGACUGGCUGGCAGAACAAUUUUAGCAGGCUUGGGGCUCAGGUUGUCUGAUGCUUAUUCCUAGGAUGAUUAGGGCAGAAAACAGUGCCUGCUGUGAGUGUUCAGUUCUGUACCAAGGUAUCGAGGGUUAUGGGCCUGGGAGUGGUUGGUCUAUAUAUGAAAGGCAGCUUGCGAGCAGAUUAUUUACUGUCUUAAGAUGUGGCUAGUUCUGAGAGGAGCAGUCACCCCAUGGCAAGUGAGGCACCAAAUGCCAGAAAAUUAAAAAUAGAGAAAACAGGGCUGAGUAUUGUUGCACAGUGGGUUAAGCCCCUACUUGUGACAUCUGCAACCCAUAUCAGAGUGCUCACUCAAGUCCAGGCUUCUCUGCUUCCCAUACAGCUUUCCUGAUAAUGCACCUGGGAAGAAGCAGAUGAUGACCCAAGUAGUUGGGUCUCUGGCACGCACAUGGGAGACCUAGAUGGUGUUCCUAGCUCCUGGAUUUAGCUUGGCCCAGCCUUGGCAGUGUUCGGCA
RNAcentral lists this long non-coding RNA (804 nucleotides) under Oryctolagus cuniculus (rabbit). RNAcentral describes it as "lncRNA (ENSOCUG00000030944.1)". The record is from RNAcentral. Lineage: Eukaryota; Metazoa; Chordata; Mammalia; Lagomorpha; Leporidae.